This 406-nucleotide ribosomal RNA is filed under the name uncultured bacterium. Its description in RNAcentral is "partial 16S ribosomal RNA". It matches the Rfam family "Bacterial small subunit ribosomal RNA", at positions 29 to 526 of the family's 1533-position model. The record is from RNAcentral.
AUUGAACGCUGGCGGCAGGCCUAACACAUGCAAGUCGAACGAGUGGCGGACGGGUGAGUAAUGUCUGGGAAACUGCCUGAUGGAGGGGGAUAACUACUGGAAACGGUAGCUAAUACCGCAUACCAUCGGAUGUGCCCAGCUGGGAUUAGCUCGUAGGUGGGGUAAAGGCUCACCUAGGCGACGAUCCCUAGCUGGUCUGAGAGGAUGACCAGCCAAACUGGAACGGAGACACGGGCCAGAUGCCUACGGGAGGAAGCAGUGUGGAAUAUUGCACAAUGGGCGCAAGCCUGAUGCAGCCAUGCGGAGUGUAUGAAGAAGGCCUGCGGGUUGUAAAGUACGUUCAGCGGGGAGGCGUGACCCGCAGAAGAAGCACCGGCUAACUCCGUGCCAGCAGCCGCGGUAAUAC